CUCUAUACGGAGUUACAAAGGACGACAUUAGACGAAUCAUCUGGAAAGAUGAAUCAAAGAAGGUAAUAAUCCUGUAGUCGAAAAUGUUGUCUCUCUUGAGUGGAUCCUGAGUACGACGGAGCACGUGGAAUUCCGUCGGAAUCUGGGAGGACCAUCUCCUAAGGCUAAAUACUCUCUAGUGACCGAUAGUGAACCAGUACCGUGAGGGAAAGGUGAAAAGCACCCCGGAAGGGGAGUGAAAUAGAACCUGAAACC
This 255-nucleotide ribosomal RNA is filed under the name Staphylococcus aureus. RNAcentral describes it as "partial 23S ribosomal RNA". It matches the Rfam family "Bacterial large subunit ribosomal RNA", at positions 308 to 557 of the family's 2925-position model. The record is from RNAcentral. Lineage: Bacteria; Bacillati; Bacillota; Bacilli; Caryophanales; Staphylococcaceae.